CCGGCUACGUGCCCAGCGCUCGCGUCUGCUCCAGUCGCUCUGGCGGUGCGGGGCGCUGGCGACGGGACAGGGUUUUUGCUGCCCGGGGCCUAGUCUACCUCGGCACGCUUUUCUCUGAAGGAGACACGCACUUGCACGACGUGGGCCUCUGUGCAGCUCUACUUUGUCCUUAACUCCUCUGACUCAACGUUAUCGCAGUUUGACUCUGGAGCCACUCAGGUUUUUCCUAAGCUCAACUCUAGCCAGCUAGGUUCCUGGUGCUUUGGGGUAUCAAGUAUCAAGACUCCAGCAAAAGUGGCAGACAGCAUGGGAAUGCUAAAGAGCAUACAAUAUCAAUACAGGAUAGUACUCCAGAAAAUACGUUACCCUGCAUGUGGCGUUCCCUCAAUAGAUGUCUCCCCUCCCCCCAAUUUUUUUUAGCUCUGUGCUUUAGUGGAUACAAAAAUUACUUGCUUUCCCAAAGCCUCCUUUUGAAGAUAGAGCUAGCAUUAGGUUGAUUGCUAAAUUUUCAGGGAUUUUAUGAGCCAGGUCAUAAGCACAACCAUUAUUAGAAAUCAAAUUAUAUAAGCUACAAUUAAAUUAUCUUAAAAAUAAAAGUAAUAGGCCAGGCAUGUUGAGUCACAUUUGUAAUCCCAGUGCUUUGGGAGGCUAAGGCGGGAAGAUGGCUUGAGGCUAGAAGUUUGAUGUUGCAGUGAGCUAUGAUCACACCACUGCACUCCAGCCUGGGCAACAGAGUGAGACCCUAUUU
This 748-nucleotide long non-coding RNA is filed under the name Homo sapiens (human). RNAcentral describes it as "HSALNT0188905". The record is from RNAcentral. Lineage: Eukaryota; Metazoa; Chordata; Mammalia; Primates; Hominidae.